Molecule: long non-coding RNA, 1059 nt
Organism: Agelaius phoeniceus (red-winged blackbird)
Lineage: Eukaryota; Metazoa; Chordata; Aves; Passeriformes; Icteridae
Source: RefSeq, a predicted model, not a curated record
GGGCGGCCUAGAUGGAGCUGCGCUCUUUAAAACCGGCUAAAAAAACAGCAGCCGGCUAAAAAAACCCAGGAAUUAUGCUAAUUCCACAUUAGGGCUGCGGAGCCGACAAGCGGCGGAUGGUGAAUGUUAAGUCCCUCCAGCCACACGCGCUGCUCUGCGGUGCACCGGGAACACCGACCCCAGCGCUCGCCUGCAGGAACCCCCAUUUUAAGCACAACGCCCUCCUGACAUAAGGACCGGAGGUUCAUGCUCAGACCAAAGUUAAUCCAGGCUGUAAGCGGACUGCCCACACCACACGCACGAAUAAACCCAAGAUCAAGGUCCAGACACAGGAACACCCGCAGGACAGCAGAGCAAACUCGGUCUCUGCCGGCUUGAAGUCUCAGGCUGCAACUCAGCCAUUAGGCAGACACUCCACAGCCUCUUCCCAACAAUUUCCAUAGAUAACUGCUCUAACAGCGGCUGAAACAGAGAAGCCCAGCAUCUUGUAACAUAAAAAAAAAAAUAUCUGCGGGAUGUUUCCAGAUGUUACCCUGAAUGUGCAGAAACAGUAAAGAAUACCGCUCAGCAAAAGGAUAUGGUGACAUUGGUACGAUCCUGCUGUGAGGAGACCUGCUCCUGAGUCAGCCCAACACAGAUGCACAAAUUGCCAAGAGAGAUGAAGAAUUUUCUCUCCCAUUACUACAAAACAGCAGAUGCUCCAGAGCUCCUCUCUGUCCUCUUUCAAAAACCCAGUCCAGUAUGUUGAUGUCCAGCUAAUCCCCACUGCAACCACCAUCUACUAUUAUAUAUAUAUGUGGAUAUUUGAGGAAUCGAAAGGGUGAGCACUAAGCAACCAACCAAUGCUCCCAGCACGCUUAAACGAGAGUGCUUCACACCAUUUACUACGCAGUUUAAACCACCUAGCUGAUUGCAGCAAGAUACAGUUCUACCUUAUGUCAACCACGGAAGAUGUUAAAGUCACUCAAGUCAUGGUAUGACCGGAUAUCCAGAAAUACCAUCUGAAAACUCCAACUCUGAAGCUGCCAAGGCAGCUUUGAAUAAUAAUUCAACCAUCUC